UAGGGAAUCUUCCGCAAUGGGCGAAAGCCUGACGGAGCAACGCCGCGUGAGUGAUGAAGGUCUUCGGAUCGUAAAACUCUGUUAUUAGGGAAGAACAAAUGUGUAAGUAACUAUGCACGUCUUGACGGUACCUAAUCAGAAAGCCACGGCUAACUACGUGCCAGCAGCCGCGGUAAUACGUAGGUGGCAAGCGUUAUCCGGAAUUAUUGGGCGUAAAGCGCGCGUAGGCGGUUUUUUAAGUCUGAUGUGAAAGCCCACGGCUCAACCGUGGAGGGUCAUUGGAAACUGGAAAACUUGAGUGCAGAAGAGGAAAGUGGAAUUCCAUGUGUAGCAGUGAAAUGCGCAGAGAUAUAGAGGAACACCAGUGGCGAAGGCGACUUUCUGGUCUGUAACUGACGCUGAUGUGCGAAAGCGUGGGGAUCAAACAGG
RNAcentral lists this ribosomal RNA (429 nucleotides) under Actinomycetes bacterium. RNAcentral's name for it is "Actinobacteria bacterium partial 16S ribosomal RNA". It matches the Rfam family "Bacterial small subunit ribosomal RNA", at positions 355 to 776 of the family's 1533-position model. Lineage: Bacteria; Bacillati; Actinomycetota; Actinomycetes. The record is from RNAcentral.